RNAcentral lists this ribosomal RNA (850 nucleotides) under Rhadinorhynchus gerberi. Its description in RNAcentral is "SSU rRNA". It matches the Rfam family "Eukaryotic small subunit ribosomal RNA", at positions 426 to 1286 of the family's 1831-position model. The record is from RNAcentral. Lineage: Eukaryota; Metazoa; Acanthocephala; Palaeacanthocephala; Echinorhynchida; Rhadinorhynchidae.
CAGCAGGCGCGCAAAUUACCCAAUCCCCGAUCGGGGAGGUAGUGACGAGAAAUGACAGUGCCGUAAUCAGAUGAUUCGGCUACUGAAUUGAGAACGAUGAAAGAAUGUUAUCGAAUAUCUAUUGGAGGGCAAGUCUGGUGCCAGCAGCCGCGGUAAUUCCAGCUCGAAGAGCGUCUGUUAAUGCUGCUGCGCUUGAAACGCUCGUCGUUGAAUCUCUGGCAAUUGUCUACGGACACUUUUAUAGUGCUACCGUAGGAAAGUGCCUUUUUGUAUCUAUUCGUCGUUGAUUCACUUAAUUGUGUGUCGCGUACGAGAGCCACUUUCACUUUGGAGAAAUCAGUGUGCUCAUAACAGGCUUUAGCCUGCAUAUAACUGCAUGGGAUGAUGAAAUUGGGCCUUUGACUCGUUUCGUUGGUUUACGAUUGCAAAGGCCAUGAUUAAUCGGGACAGACGGGGGCAUUCGUAUUGCGUCGAUAGAAGUGAAAUUCGGUGACCGACGUAAGACGAACAAUCGCGAAAGCAUUUGCCAAGAAUGUUUUCAUUAAUCAAGAACGAAAGUUAGAGUAUCGAAGACGAUUAGAUACCGUCCUAGUUCUAACUGUAAACGAUGCCAACCAGGGUUUCGUCAUAGCUCAAAUGCUUGACGAGCACCCUCCGGGAAACCUGAGUAAUCGGGUUCCGGGGGGAGUAUGGUUGCAGAAUCGAAACUUAAAGGAAUUGACGGAAGGGCACACCAGGAGUGGAGCCUGCGGCUUAAUUUGACUCAACGCACGAUAGCCGACUCGGUCCGAACACUUGAAGGAUUGACAGACUGAAAGCUCUUUCUUGAUUCAGUGGGUAGCGGUGCAUG